This 116-nucleotide ribosomal RNA is filed under the name Halothiobacillus sp. Lineage: Bacteria; Pseudomonadati; Pseudomonadota; Gammaproteobacteria; Chromatiales; Halothiobacillaceae. The record is from RNAcentral.
CCUGGUGUCCAUAGAGCUGUGGAACCACCUGUUCCCAUCCCGAACACAGAAGUGAAACGCAGCAUCGCCGAUGAUAGUGUGGGGUCUCCCCAUGUGAAAGUAGGUCAACGCCAGGC